RNAcentral lists this ribosomal RNA (499 nucleotides) under uncultured Acidobacteriota bacterium. RNAcentral's name for it is "bacterial SSU rRNA". It matches the Rfam family "Bacterial small subunit ribosomal RNA", at positions 13 to 529 of the family's 1533-position model. The record is from RNAcentral. Lineage: Bacteria; Pseudomonadati; Acidobacteriota.
UUGAUCCUGGCUCAGAAUCAACGCUGGCGGCGUGCCUAACACAUGCAAGUCGAACGGGAAAGUGGAGCAAUCCAUGAGUAUAGUGGCGACCGGGUGAGUUACACGUGACUAACCUACCUUCAAGUGGGGGAUAACCUCGGGAAACCGGGUCUAAUACCGCAUAAUAUCCUUGUUAUGAGAAAGCAGGGAUCAAAGGAGCUAUUCGCUGGAAGAGGGGGUCGCGGCUGAUUAGCUAGUUGGUGGGGUAAUUGCCCACCAAGGCUUUGAUCGGUAGCCGGCCUGAGAGGGCGCACGGCCACUCUGGAACUGAAACACGGUCCAGACUCCUACGGGAGGCAGCAGUGGGGAAUUUUGCGCAAUGGGGGAAACCCUGACGCAGCAACGCCGCGUGGAGGAUGAUGUCCCUUGGGACGUAAACUCCUUUCGACCGGGAAGAUUAUGACGGUACCUGUGGAAGAAGCCCCGGCUAACUUCGUGCCAGCAGCCGCGGUAAUAAGGU